RNAcentral lists this ribosomal RNA (244 nucleotides) under uncultured Sarcina sp. Its description in RNAcentral is "partial 16S ribosomal RNA". It matches the Rfam family "Bacterial small subunit ribosomal RNA", at positions 796 to 1041 of the family's 1533-position model. The record is from RNAcentral. Lineage: Bacteria; Bacillati; Bacillota; Clostridia; Eubacteriales; Clostridiaceae.
CACGCCGUAAACGAUGAAUACUAGGUGUAGGGGCCCCAAGCCUCUGUGCCGCCGCUAACGCAUUAAGUAUUCCGCCUGGGGAGUACGGUCGCAAGAUUAAAACUCAAAGGAAUUGACGGGGACCCGCACAAGCAGCGGAGCAUGUGGUUUAAUUCGAAGCAACGCGAAGAACCUUACCUAGACUUGACAUGUCCUGAAUUACCAGUAAUGUGGGAAGUUCCUUCGGGAACAGGAACACAGGUGG